AUCCCUGUUUUCCAGGUCUCCAACGUUCCUACGGCCGGAAUCGCUCCCUCCCGGCUCCAGCUCCGGCUCCAGAGGCUCCGGGAGAGGCUCCAGGUGUGCAGGGAUCCCAGGCCCCGCUCCUGGCACGGACACGACGGAUCGCCCGGAGCGCCCUCCUGAAAUCCGCCCCCUACAGCAGCUGCUGCCGCAGGAAAGGGGCCCAGGGAAGCAGCUCCCGGGCCGGCACCACCCGGACGGUGCCGGAGCCGCUCCGGAAUGUGGCAGAAUCCCAGGAUGUGGGAGAAUCCCGAGGAUCCCCAGCCCUGCUGCUGGAACACGGCAGCGGGAGGGCAGAUGUUCCGAAGGCUCCGACCCGGAAAGGAAAACCCUGCUCGGUGUGGGACGAGCUGAGCCCGGAGCGGCGCCGGGUCCUGCAGCACCACCUGCACCUGCGCAGCUCCAGGUGGAUCCUGGAUCCACCCGGAGCUGGGGACGGAUGGACCAGUCAGGGGGGC
This is a long non-coding RNA of Lepidothrix coronata (blue-crowned manakin), 494 nucleotides long. RefSeq lists it as uncharacterized. The transcript has 6 exons. NCBI's taxonomy places the organism in Eukaryota, Metazoa, Chordata, Aves, Passeriformes, Pipridae. The record is from RefSeq and is a predicted model, not a curated record.